This 74-nucleotide transfer RNA is filed under the name Acidimicrobiia bacterium. RNAcentral's name for it is "tRNA-Trp". It matches the Rfam family "tRNA". From Rfam's summary of the family: Transfer RNA (tRNA) molecules are approximately 80 nucleotides in length. RNAcentral also lists the same sequence under 2 other names. The record is from RNAcentral. Lineage: Bacteria; Bacillati; Actinomycetota; Acidimicrobiia.
AGGGCAGUAGCUCAAUUGGUAGAGCACCGGUCUCCAACACCGACGGUUGGGGGUUCAAGUCCCUCCUGCCCUGC